Molecule: ribosomal RNA, 346 nt
Filed under: uncultured bacterium
Lineage: Bacteria
Description: partial 16S ribosomal RNA
Rfam family: Bacterial small subunit ribosomal RNA
Source: RNAcentral
CCUACGGGAGGCAGCAGUGGGGAAUAUUGCGCAAUGGGCGAAAGCCUGACGCAGCGACGCCGCGUGAGGGAUGAAGGUCUUCGGAUCGUAAACCUCUGUCAGCAGGGAAGAACGGUCACUGGGCUAAUCAGCAGUGAAUUGACGGGACAGGCAAAGGAAGCACCGGCUAACUCCGUGCCAGCAGCCGCGGUAAGAAGGAGGGUGCGAGCGUUAAUCGGAAUUACUGGGCGUAAAGCGCGCGUAGGCGGCAUGUCAAGUCAAGGGUGAAAUCCCCGCGCUCAACGUGGGAACUGCCUUUGAAACUUGCAACCUGGAGUGUGUGAUAGGAUAGUGGAAUUCCAGGUGU